GUGUUGUAUGCAAGGAGAGAAAGAUAGCACUCCCCUUGACAAAGAUGGGCCUAGCAACAGGGCCAGUGGUUAAGGCAGUGCCAUGUAUUGUGGCAUCUGAUGACUGUUUUUA
This 112-nucleotide non-coding RNA is filed under the name Neotoma lepida (desert woodrat). Lineage: Eukaryota; Metazoa; Chordata; Mammalia; Rodentia; Cricetidae. The record is from RNAcentral.